GACGAACGCUGGCGGCGUGCUUAACACAUGCAAGUCGAACGGAAAGGCCCUGCUUUUGUGGGGUGCUCGAGUGGCGAACGGGUGAGUAACACGUGAGUAACCUGCCCUUGACUUUGGGAUAACUUCAGGAAACUGGGGCUAAUACCGGAUAGGAGCUCCUGCUGCAUGGUGGGGGUUGGAAAGUUUCGGCUGUUGGGGAUGGACUCGCGGCUUAUCAGCUUGUUGGUGGGGUAGUGGCUUACCAAGGCUUUGACGGGUAGCCGGCAUGAGAGGGUGACCGGCCACAUUGGGCCUGCGAUACGGCCCAGAAUCGUACGGGACGCAGUAGUGGGGAAUAUUGCACAGUGGCGGGACGCCUGAUACAGAAACGCCGCGUGCGGGAUAACGGCCUUCGGGUUGAAAACAGAUUUCGCCUGUAACGAAGCGUGAGUGACGGUAAUGGGUAAAGAAGCACCGGCUAACUACGUG
This 468-nucleotide ribosomal RNA is filed under the name uncultured bacterium. Its description in RNAcentral is "partial 16S ribosomal RNA". It matches the Rfam family "Bacterial small subunit ribosomal RNA", at positions 28 to 507 of the family's 1533-position model. The record is from RNAcentral.